ACGGAAGGCAGCAGUGGGGAAUAUUGGGCAAUGGGCGAAAGCCUGACCCAGCAACGCCGCGUGAAGGAAGAAGGUCUUCGGAUUGUAAACUUCUUUUAUGAGGGACGAAGGAAGUGACGGUACCUCAUGAAUAAGCCACGGCUAACUACGUGCCAGCAGCCGCGGUAAUACGUAGGUGGCAAGCGUUAUCCGGAUUUACUGGGUGUAAAGGGCGCGUAGGCGGGGAUGCAAGUCAGGUGUGAAAUCUAUGGGCUUAACUCAUAAACUGCACUUGAAACUGUAUCUCUUGAGUGCUGGAGAGGUAGACGGAAUUCCUUGUGUAGCGGUGAAAUGCGUAGAUAUAAGGAGGAACACCAGUGGCGAAGGCGGCUUGCUGGACUGUUACUGACACUGAGGCACGAAAGCGUGGGGAGCAAACAGGAUUAGAUACCCUGGUA
This 437-nucleotide ribosomal RNA is filed under the name uncultured Oscillospiraceae bacterium. RNAcentral describes it as "bacterial SSU rRNA". It matches the Rfam family "Bacterial small subunit ribosomal RNA", at positions 341 to 792 of the family's 1533-position model. The record is from RNAcentral. Lineage: Bacteria; Bacillati; Bacillota; Clostridia; Eubacteriales; Oscillospiraceae.